Triticum aestivum (bread wheat) is the source of this 136-nucleotide non-coding RNA. Lineage: Eukaryota; Viridiplantae; Streptophyta; Magnoliopsida; Poales; Poaceae. The record is from Rfam.
AUUCUACUCCCUCCGUUGCACAAUACAUGCCUUCUAUUUGUCAAAAUAUAUAUGUAUCUAGACAUGUCUUAGUAUAUAGGUACAUCCAUUUUUGGACAAAUGGAAGUCAAGUAUUUUGGAAUGGAGGGAGUACACA